GCAUGGCUGUCGUCAGCUCGUGUCGUGAGAUGUUCGGUUAAGUCCGCUAACGAGCGCAACCCUCGCUGUGUGUUAUAUGUGUCACACGGGACUGCCGGUCUUAAGCCGGAGGAAGGUGGGGAUGAUGUCAAGUCAGCAUGGCCUUUAUAUCCUGGGCUACACACACGCUACAAUGGCCAACACAAUAGGUUGCUAAGCCGCGAGGUGGCGCCAAUCCAUAAAGUUGGUCUCAGUUCAGAUUGUAGGCUGCAACCCGCCUGCAUGAAGAUGGAGUUGCUAGUAACCGCAGGUCAGCUAUACUGCGGUGAAUACGUUCCCGGGGCUU
Molecule: ribosomal RNA, 325 nt
Filed under: uncultured Leptolinea sp.
Lineage: Bacteria; Bacillati; Chloroflexota; Anaerolineae; Anaerolineales; Anaerolineaceae
Description: bacterial SSU rRNA
Rfam family: Bacterial small subunit ribosomal RNA
Source: RNAcentral